UUAAAUAAGACGCUAAAAUAAUAAUAAUAAUAAUAAUAAUAAUAAUAGGCACUUCUAAAGUCCCUGGUAGCUCAUCAUUAUUAUGACUGUCUAUUAAUAGUGGAUCAUCAUACCUCGAUAUAUUAUUUAGCCACUACCUAAUAGGUCGAGCCGUUUGCUUGCCGAUAUGUCAGUUUGUUUGUAUACACUGCCCUGCCACAGUGAUUAAGUGUAAUGACUGUAGGUAUGUGUUUGCGUGCUGUAACUAUGGAUGUCCGCUCCUGAAGCCAAGCCUGAGAGAGAGAGAGAGAGAGAAAGGGAACAGAAACAAAGGACAACGCUUUUCUACAUAAUAACAAUUCAGUAAAACCUUUACCAAUUUUAUGUGUCAGUAUAAAAUAUUUAUAGUCUUCAUCCUGUCGGGGACAGAGAAGAUAAAAUUUUUUUAACAAUGUGGGCAGUUAACAAAGCUGGGAUUGCACUCGAAAAGAAAAACAAAAAAGUAAGCUUUUGCAUGUUUUUUUUUAUAACCAAUAUGGCAUACAUUUGUUAGAUAGAUAGGCUAGAUUUAUAUAGGCUAGCAAUAAAUUAAAAGUGAACAGUUACUCUAUGCCCUAUAUCCACAAAUACUCAAUGUGAUUUUUUUUACAUUUCACCCCCCAAAUCUGUAAUGGAUUAAAUGAAUUAAGUCUACUGUUGUAUUAUUAAGAAUCAAUUCAUUAUCUGUUUAAUACCAAUACAAGUAGCUUUCAGUAGAGCUGUACAGUACAGGUCUUAUGCAAAAAGAAAAAGUACACAAUCUGUACAUAAUCAGACUCAGAAACUAUGCAAUGCUGAUAUAACUUUGUUUCACUACUUACAGAAACAUGAAACUGUAAGUUUUCCACCCAUUUCCAUUGGCCAUGUGAAGUCACUACAGUAUUAUAGCAGGCUAACUGCCUCUCAGAGACUUCAAGAGCUUUUCUUCUCCCAAGCUCGAGCUGAUGAUGGACCUCUUAGUAAGACAAUCAGGAACAAGAAAAUCUCAAGGCAUCAGGUUGAUCUUUAUGCCAAACUGAGUGUGGAGAUCGAGCUGAAGGUCACCGCUCA
Long non-coding RNA from Clarias gariepinus (North African catfish), 1068 nucleotides. RefSeq lists it as uncharacterized. Lineage: Eukaryota; Metazoa; Chordata; Actinopteri; Siluriformes; Clariidae. The record is from RefSeq and is a predicted model, not a curated record. The transcript is spliced from 3 exons.